CCCUUAGAUGUUCUGGGCUGCACGCGUGCUACACUGAUAUUGCCAAUAUGUCAUUCUUAUCCGAAAUGGAUUGGGUAAUCAAGUAAUGAAAUUUCAUGCUUGGAAUCGGUAAUUGCAAUUUUAUCGUGAACGAGGAAUUCCUAGUAAGCACUAGUCAUCAGCUAAUGUUGAUUAUGUCCCUGUCCUUUGUACACACCGCCCGUCGCUACUACUGAUUGGGUGUUCAAGUGAGAUGCUUAGACCCUUGUUGCAUGGUUCAUUAUUGUGCUCCGAAAGGAAAAAGUUUCAAGCUUGAGUGUCUAGAGGAAGUAAAAGUCGUAACA
Molecule: ribosomal RNA, 323 nt
Filed under: uncultured eukaryote
Lineage: Eukaryota
Description: partial 18S ribosomal RNA
Rfam family: Eukaryotic small subunit ribosomal RNA
Source: RNAcentral